UGAACCAUACCAAACUGUUGCCUCGGCGGGGUCACGCCCCGGGUGCGUCGCAGCCCCGGAACCAGGCGCCCGCCGGAGGGACCAACCAAACUCUUUCUGUAGUCCCCUCGCGGACGUUAUUUCUUACAGCUCUGAGCAAAAAUUCAAAAUGAAUCAAAACUUUCAACAACGGAUCUCUUGGUUCUGGCAUCGAUGAAGAACGCAGCGAAAUGCGAUAAGUAAUGUGAAUUGCAGAAUUCAGUGAAUCAUCGAAUCUUUGAACGCACAUUGCGCCCGCCAGUAUUCUGGCGGGCAUGCCUGUCCGAGCGUCAUUUCAACCCUCGAACCCCUCCGGGGGGUCGGCGUUGGGGAUCGGGAACCCCUAAGACGGGAUCCCGGCCCCGAAAUACAGUGGCGGUCUCGCCGCAGCCUCUCCUGCGCAGUAGUUUGCACAACUCGCACCGGGAGCGCGGCGCGUCCACGUCCGUAAAACACCCAACUUUCUGAAAUGUUGACCUCGGAUCAGGUAGGAAUACCCGCUGAACUUAAGCAUAUCAAAAGGCCGGAGGAAA
This 551-nucleotide ribosomal RNA is filed under the name Hypocreales sp. F20. RNAcentral describes it as "eukaryotic LSU rRNA". The stretch from base 158 to 311 matches the Rfam family "5.8S ribosomal RNA". The record is from RNAcentral. Lineage: Eukaryota; Fungi; Ascomycota; Sordariomycetes; Hypocreales.